GAUGAACGCUGGCGGCGUGCCUAAUACAUGCAAGUCGAGCGAACAGACGAGGAGCUUGCUCCUCUGACGUUAGCGGCGGACGGGUGAGUAACACGUGGAUAACCUACCUAUAAGACUGGGAUAACUUCGGGAAACCGGAGCUAAUACCGGAUAAUAUAUUGAACCGCAUGGUUCAAUAGUGAAAGACGGUUUUGCUGUCACUUAUAGAUGGAUCCGUGCCGCAUUAGCUAGUUGGUAAGGUAACGGCUUACCAAGGCGACGAUGCGUAGCCGACCUGAGAGGGUGAUCGGCCACACUGGAACUGAGACACGGUCCAGACUCCUACGGGAGGCAGCAGUAGGGAAUCUUCCGCAAUGGGCGAAAGCCUGACGGAGCAACGCCGCGUGAGUGAUGAAGGUCUUCGGAUCGUAAAACUCUGUUAUUAGGGAAGAACAAAUGUGUAAGUAACUAUGCACGUCUUGACGGUACCUAAUCAGAAAGCCACGGCUAACUACGUG
RNAcentral lists this ribosomal RNA (497 nucleotides) under uncultured bacterium. Its description in RNAcentral is "partial 16S ribosomal RNA". It matches the Rfam family "Bacterial small subunit ribosomal RNA", at positions 28 to 507 of the family's 1533-position model. The record is from RNAcentral.